Molecule: long non-coding RNA, 903 nt
Filed under: Bos indicus x Bos taurus (hybrid cattle)
Lineage: Eukaryota; Metazoa; Chordata; Mammalia; Artiodactyla; Bovidae
Description: lncRNA (ENSBIXG00005022538.1)
Source: RNAcentral
CAGCGUGCCCGAGGGAGGCUCCGCUCAGACCUCUCACCUGGGGGAGCUAUGCGAUUUGGCAAAUUUUUUUUUUUUUUAAACAAACACUGAUCAUGCCAUGUAAGCAGGAGUUGCUUCCUGAUUAUCAAACAGCCCAGAGUCCUUACUGGCGAUCUCUCUUUCUAGAUGACGAUGCAAUAAUUCAAUGAUGUUCUUAAAACUUCCAGUAAAUUUCUACCAGUUCAAAUCCUAUUGAGGCCAUUAAAUCAUGGCUGAUUCGGACAUAAAUAUUUCUCUCAUACGGUAACAUAUAAAUGGGAUCAGAUGGUCAAGGUAUUUCGGGGUCCUGCUUGGUUUCAACCUGUAGCCCAAGUGGAAUCAGCUUCUAAAGAGACUGCACCCAUAACUACAGGACAAUUACGUACAGGACAGCCCUCCUCUGUUACACACUUGGAUGAAAACUUGACUGCCACGUUGGCCUCAAUCGUUCACAACCAUGCUAAAGGGGAAGCAAACGCACCUUGAGAUCUCAGUGCUCCUCGUCUGGAACCCUGCUUAGAUUCAGUGAGCAUUUUAGAGGGACUGGAGCCUGGCUGCCUCAGACCAGGCACCGUGAAGGGGCGAGAAAUGAACCUCUUGUUCCUGUAAAGCUAGAUUCCUGAUGCUCCAGGUGGAGAAAAAUAGCCAUCGCCAGCCUCAUGCUAAGAAAAGGCUUAGGCCUUGAUUUACCCUCAGUCUUGUGUAGUGAAUUAAUCUUUGUGUUUUAUUUGUUCUUUUUUUUGUACUUAUUAAUACUUGAAUUUAUUGGUGGAACAGCAUGAUAAUACAUAAUAUUCCAAACAUGUAUAAGUGAGACUGCACAAAAUUUCCAUCUGAGACUCUGUGUCUUGAGAAAAUAAAUUAUAAUCAUGUUCUAGCUCUGCA